UGCAGUCGAACGGUAACAGGUCUUCGGAUGCUGACGAGUGGCGAACGGGUGAGUAAUACAUCGGAACGUGCCCGAUCGUGGGGGAUAACGGAGCGAAAGCUUUGCUGAUACCGCAUACGAUCUACGGAUGAAAGCAGGGGACCGCAAGGCCUUGCGCGGACGGAGCGGCCGAUGGCAGAUUAGGUAGUUGGUGGGAUAAAAGCUUACCAAGCCGACGAUCUGUAGCUGGUCUGAGAGGACGACCAGCCACACUGGGACUGAGACACGGCCCAGACUCCUACGGGAGGCAGCAGUGGGGAAUUUUGGACAAUGAGCGAAAGCCUGAUCCAGCCAUGCCGCGUGCAGGAUGAAGGCCUUCGGGUCGUAAACUGCUUUUGUACGGAACGAAAAGACUCCUUCUAAUAAAGGGGGUUCAUGACGGUACCGUAAGAAUAAGCACCGGCUAACUACGUGCCAGCAGCCGCGGUAAUACGUAGGGUGCAAGCGUUGAUCGGAAUUACUGGGCGUAAAGCGUGCGCAGGCGGUUAUAUAAGACAGAUGUGAAAUCCCCGGGCUCAACCUGGGAACUGCAUUUGUGACUGUAUAGCUAGAGUACGGUAGAGGGGGAUGGAAUUCCGCGUGUAGCAGUGAAAUGCGUAGAUAUGCGGAGGAACACCGAUGGCGAAGGCAAUCCCCUGGACCUGUACUGACGCUCAUGCACGAAAGCGUGGGGAGCAAACAGGAUU
This 725-nucleotide ribosomal RNA is filed under the name uncultured bacterium. Its description in RNAcentral is "bacterial SSU rRNA". It matches the Rfam family "Bacterial small subunit ribosomal RNA", at positions 56 to 779 of the family's 1533-position model. The record is from RNAcentral.